Molecule: long non-coding RNA, 1197 nt
Filed under: Anas zonorhyncha (Eastern spot-billed duck)
Lineage: Eukaryota; Metazoa; Chordata; Aves; Anseriformes; Anatidae
Description: lncRNA (ENSAZOG00000001879.1)
Source: RNAcentral
ACGGACACAUCGCCAGUUAUUUUAAAUCGCACACACCUCCUCUGGGCACACGCUCCCGCCCUCGCAGCGCUGCCACCCGCCCGCACCUGCCCCGCGGGGCGGUCGCCCCUGAGGGAGCCCUCGGCCGCCUCCUCGGGGCGGACAUUUUCUGCCCCCCCCUCGGCCAGCGGCCCCGCACCUGCCCGCGCCGCGGGGCGCUCUGCGGCCGGCCCUGCCCGCCCGAUCCUGAGGCGAUUGCGGGAGGCGGGGGGGGCUGCCGGGCGAGGCGCUGAGGCGGCGAAGGGCCGCGAGGAGACGAAGGGCUGUGAGGUGAGGGGCUGUGAGGUGAGGGGCAGCGAGGGGAGGCGCGGGGCGGGGGGCACCCUGCGGUGGGCAGCGGGUCCGCCAUGGCGGGCACGGCGGGUCCCCGCCCGGUAUCCCCGGGCCCGCGGCUCCCGGUCUCCGCUCCGCUCCGCUCCUCCUCCACGUGCGGCGUUUUCCAGGCAGCGGCGCGGAGCAGCUGCCCCAGGGGGCGUCCCCAGCCCCGCAUCCUGCCUCCCCCGGCCCCGGCCCCGGCCCCGGCCCGGCUGCCCGCGGGCGCUGCGCUCCCCACCUGCACGCUCCUUAUGUAAGGCGGCACCCGAUGGGGGAGCCGGGGGGGGACCAGCGCGCACACACACACACACACACACACCCGUGCACGCAGGGGGCAGCCCCCCCGCCCGCAGCAUCCCUCCGCCGCCUGUGACCGCGCCGAUACCUUUUAUCCAGGCAAGCGAUCCACUCGCCGGAGGAGGCGGAAUGGGAGGUGUGCGCGGCCACCAUGUUGGACAGGGAGCGGGUCGCCGCGCACCCGGCUGGCAGCGGCGGCGGCGGCGGCGGCUCCCCCCGCCCGCCCGGCGGUCGCUCGGUCCGUCCUCCCUCCCUUCCCUCCCUCCUUCCCUCCUUCCCUCCCUCCCUCCGCCGCGAUGGGCUCGCCCAGGGCCCCGCCACCGCCUCAGGGCAGCCCGGGGGAGCUGCGCCCUCCGGCGCGGGGGCGGCCGCCGUGCCCUCGCCCCCUCCUCAGAGCCCGGCUUGCCGGUCCCUGCCCUUGCCUCACCAGAGGCGUCCUUGACGGGGCUGGGAGGGGGGACACGAGCCGGUUGUCGAAAACCAGCACCUCAGGGUUAUUGCACCUGCUCUGCACACUUUGCUGUUUCCGUCCUUCCCUCAGCAUAA